Osmerus eperlanus (European smelt) is the source of this 1607-nucleotide RNA transcript. It is a transcript of the gene named myosin-IIIb-like, with no coding region annotated. The transcript is spliced from 8 exons. The record is from RefSeq and is a predicted model, not a curated record. Lineage: Eukaryota; Metazoa; Chordata; Actinopteri; Osmeriformes; Osmeridae.
AGAACGUACAAUGCUAAAUUGUGUAGUAUAAUCUGAUUUACAUCAGUGCUGGAAAUGGUCUGACCUGCAUCUGUAAUUCUGUACUUCAGAUGUUUAGAAUAAAAUCAGAUUCUCUAUAAAGAGCGUCCUUGGAAUUCGAUUGACAAAAAUAUGAUCAACCAAUGCAGAUCUGUUUGAGUCUAGUAGAUCAACUGAAUUCUACUAAUCUCUCUAGACCCAGAGAUUAAAUUUUCACAUCUAAAAAUGUUGUGCUUGUUGUGUACUCAAGCAGAGAUCUGAUGCUUCGGAGAUGUAUCUCUCCAUGUUUACAAUCGUAUUCCUCAGUGAGGAAAAACUUCAAACCUCCACUUAACAAUUCUGUUUAAUUAGCGCUGGAAUUUCUCCAUAUAGAUCUAUUUUGACAUGAUCGGGGCCGUUCGGCCCCUGUAACAUGUUCUCACCUGCCUGCUACCUGCUGUCCUCGUUACUUCAACGCCUACUGUACAAUGACCCACUGAACAGCCAGGCUCGCGUUGAUCAGAGUGAGAAGGUUGGCCCCGACUGCAGAGACGGACAAGGGAGAGACGACAGCAGGGACAAAGGCUGGGCAGGAGACAGCCUGGCGAAGCCUCGCUGGGAGACGCACAGCCUGAGAGACUCGCAGGGUAAACAAGGUCCAGAGCUGAAGCUACAGCAGAGAACCCCUCGCCGGAGGCCUCACCAGCCCAAGCUGCUGAACAGCCCCGAAGACAGUCUCUACUACAACCAGCUCAAUAGAACUCUGGAUUACCAGGGGAGCAAGAGGAAGCCGAGGAAACUUGGCCAAGUCAAAGUGCUGGACGCGGAGGAUGAGUACUACACGUUACUGUCGGUGGUGGAGUCGAUCCCUGAGGAAGACUACUCGCCUGGGCUCCCUUCCUCCCUGUCUAGAGGCCCCCUUGUCAGUCAGAGCUGAGCCUUGCUCCUCCAUCCCUGUCAACCGAUUGCCUUCGUUGAUCCUGAUGUGAUCCUCAACCAAAUAGGAUGUUCAUAUCUGAGUUGUGCUGUCUACAUAUGGUUUACCUUAUUUAUUUAUUUUAAGUCGAUGUGAAAUACCGUCUACGACAGAGACUCUACGGAGAAUGUCUGUUCACGUAACAGCAUUUCUUUCUUUCUUUGACCAGUCCUUCCCCUCCGCCGGCCAGCAUAACAGCAUCCAUACUGAUCUGACCUCGCCCCAGAGUCUGGCCAUUUCUCUGCCGUUACCCCAUCAGUUCAUAGGCAGUCUCCAGGGUCUUGCUGACAAGGGGUUCAGCUCUGCCUCCUCUACUGACCCCGCGUGUAAACGAGGCUCACGUACGCUUUGGUCAGCUUGUUUCGUAGCGCCUGGGCUGCGAUGCGCCCUGGUCCAGGAGGUGCUCCUCCAGGAGCCGUGGGGGCGGCUCAGCCCAGCACGGCUCCCCCCGCUCCCCCAUGACUGUGUGCUGAGCCGUGGGAGCCGACCGAGAACAUUAAUCCCUUCAAAGGAACAGAUCUAAUUCGAAAUCAGCCGCUCCAAACUAGUUGAGAGGACAGUGAUUGUUUCUGCGGGGAAACACGAUAAAGAUCACUGCGUUGAUAUAGAAAACUACCAAUCCAGUGCUGUGGAA